Long non-coding RNA from Mesoplodon densirostris (Blainville's beaked whale), 314 nucleotides. RefSeq lists it as uncharacterized. Lineage: Eukaryota; Metazoa; Chordata; Mammalia; Artiodactyla; Ziphiidae. The record is from RefSeq and is a predicted model, not a curated record. The transcript has 2 exons.
AAUGGACUCAGAAUGAGUUGGCACCCCCGAGGUACCUGUCUUGCUGGGGAGCCACAGGUGAAGGGCUGGCUGCUGGACACAUGUUUGCAUGGAGUCAGGCUGAGUGGCCUCAGGGUGUUUGCUCUGCACUUGUGUGUGUUUCUCCCUAGUUGGUUUCCUUGUCCAGCCACCUGUGACCUCGCUCCAUCCAGCCCAGGGAAUCCUUCUCAUCACAGGGUAAAUCUGACAGCCCUACUGAUGAUCCACAAUGGAGGCAGUUCAGGAGCGGUACAUGCUGGCUCUCGGACAGUCAGAAAUGGCUUCAGCAGAUCCAG